This 468-nucleotide ribosomal RNA is filed under the name uncultured bacterium. RNAcentral's name for it is "partial 16S ribosomal RNA". It matches the Rfam family "Bacterial small subunit ribosomal RNA", at positions 28 to 507 of the family's 1533-position model. The record is from RNAcentral.
GAUGAACGCUGGCGGCGUGCUUAACACAUGCAAGUCGAACGGAAAGGCCCUGCUCUUGCUGGUCUCUCGAGUGGCGAACGGGUGAGUAACACGUGUGUAACCCGCCCUUGUCUUUGUGAUAACUUCAGGACACUGGGGCUCAUACCGCAUAGGAGCUCCUGCUGCAUGGUGGGGGUUGGAUAGUUUCGGCGGUUGGGUAUGGUCUCGCGGCUUAUCCGCUUGUUUGUGGGGUAGUGGCUUACCAAGGGUUUGACGGGUAGCCGGCCUGGGAGGUUGACCGGGCACAAUGGGACUAAGAGACGGCCCAGACUCCAACGGUAGGCAGCAGGCGGAAAGAUUGCGCAAUGGGCGCGAGCGUGAUACGACAGCGCCGCGAGCGGGAUGAUGGGCUUCGGGUUGAAAACCACUGUGGCAGGUGACGAACCGUGAGUGACGGUAAUGGGUAAAAAAGCACCGGCUAACUACGUG